CCAGCAGCUGCGGUAAUUCCAGCUCCAAUAGCGUAUAUUAAAGUUGUUGCAGUUAAAAAGCUCGUAGUUGGAUUUCUGGUAGGAUGACUGUGCCCUCAGUAGAGCGUGCGCAGGCGUCUUGCCAUCCUUCUGUUAACCUUUGAGAGCUUCAUCGCUCUCUUUGGGGCUCAGAUAUUUUACCUUGAGAAAAUUAGAGUGUUUCAGGCAGGCUAGCGCCGGAAUACAUUAGCAUGGAAUAAUAGAAUAGGACUUUUGCCUCUUCUGUUGGUCAUGGGGUUCGAGUAAUGAUUAAUAGGGAUAGUUGGGGGCAUUAGUACUUCACUGUCAGAGGUGAAAUUCUCGGAUUUGUGAAAGACUAACUUAUGCGAAAGCAUUUGCCAAGGAUGUUUUCA
RNAcentral lists this ribosomal RNA (392 nucleotides) under uncultured eukaryote. Its description in RNAcentral is "SSU rRNA". It matches the Rfam family "Eukaryotic small subunit ribosomal RNA", at positions 567 to 972 of the family's 1831-position model. The record is from RNAcentral.